Molecule: non-coding RNA, 203 nt
Organism: Xyrichtys novacula (pearly razorfish)
Lineage: Eukaryota; Metazoa; Chordata; Actinopteri; Labriformes; Labridae
Source: the annotation of a GenBank genome assembly
GUUCACCUUCAGCUCAGACAGCAGCUUCAGAAGUUAAACCUGAGUUGAUGGUGAAGUUGAACCUGAUUUAAUUUCUGAAGCUGCUGUCUGAGCUGAAGGUGAAGUUAAACCUGGUCUAACAUCAACAUCAGCUCAGACAGCAGCUUCAGAAAUUAAACUGGGUUUAUCUUCUGAAGCUGCUGUCUGAGCUGAAGGUGACGUUA